UGUCGAACGAAGCUUCGGGCUUAGUGGCGCACGGGUGCGUAACGCGUGGGAUUGCCCUCUGGUACGGAAUAACUCAGGGAAACUUGAGCUAAUACCGUAUAAUGACUUCGGUCCAAAGAUUUAUCGCCUGAGGAUGAGCCCGCGUCGGAUUAGCUAGUUGGUGAGGUAAAAGCUCACCAAGGCGACGAUCCGUAGCUGGUCUGAGAGGAUGGUCAGCCACACUGGGACUGAGACACGGCCCAGACUCCUACGGGAGGCAGCAGUGGGGAAUAUUGGACAAUGGGCGAAAGCCUGAUCCAGCAAUGCCGCGUGAGUGAUGAAGGCCUUAGGGUUGUAAAGCUCUUUUACCCGGGAUGAUAAUGACAGUACCGGGAGAAUAAGCCCCGGCUAACUCCGUGCCAGCAGCCGCGGUAAUACGGAGGGGGCUAGCGUUGUUCGGAAUUACUGGGCGUUAAGCGCACGUAGGCGGCUUUGUAAGUUAGAGGUGAAAGCCCGGGGCUCAACUCCGGAAUUGCCUUUAAGACUGC
RNAcentral lists this ribosomal RNA (527 nucleotides) under uncultured bacterium. Its description in RNAcentral is "bacterial SSU rRNA". It matches the Rfam family "Bacterial small subunit ribosomal RNA", at positions 60 to 636 of the family's 1533-position model. The record is from RNAcentral.